AGAGUUUGAUCCUGGCUCAGGAUGAACGCUGGCGGCGUGCUUAACACAUGCAAGUCGAGCGAAGCGGCUGAAUUGAUUCUUCGGAUGAUUUUCAGUUGACUGAGCGGCGGACGGGUGAGUAACGCGUGGGUGACCUGCCCCAUACCGGGGGAUAACAGCUGGAAACGGCUGCUAAUACCGCAUAAGCGCACAGAGCUGCAUGGCUCGGUGUGAAAAACUCCGGUGGUAUGGGAUGGGCCCGCGUCUGAUUAGGCAGUUGGCGGGGUAACGGCCCACCAAACCGACGAUCAGUAGCCGGCCUGAGAGGGCGACCGGCCACAUUGGGACUGAGACACGGCCCAAACUCCUACGGGAGGCAGCAGUGGGGAAUAUUGCACAAUGGGGGAAACCCUGAUGCAGCGACGCCGCGUGAGCGAAGAAGUAUUUCGGUAUGUAAAGCUCUAUCAGCAGGGAAGAUAAUGACGGUACCUGACUAAGAAGCCCCGGCUAACUACGUGCCAGCAGCCGCGGUAAUACGUAGGGGGCAAGCGUUAUCCGGAUUUACUGGGUGUAAAGGGAGCGUAGACGGCAAGGCAAGUCUGAUGUGAAAACCCAGGGCUUAACCCUGGGACUGCAUUGGAAACUGUCUGGCUCGAGUGCCGGAGAGGUAAGCGGAAUUCCUAGUGUAGCGGUGAAAUGCGUAGAUAUUAGGAAGAACACCAGUGGCGAAGGCGGCUUACUGGACGGUAACUGACGUUGAGGCUCGAAAGCGUGGGGAGCAAACAGGAUUAGAUACCCUGGUAGUCCACGCCGUAAACGAU
This 800-nucleotide ribosomal RNA is filed under the name uncultured bacterium. Its description in RNAcentral is "bacterial SSU rRNA". It matches the Rfam family "Bacterial small subunit ribosomal RNA", at positions 8 to 810 of the family's 1533-position model. The record is from RNAcentral.